Molecule: long non-coding RNA, 336 nt
Organism: Anguilla anguilla (European eel)
Lineage: Eukaryota; Metazoa; Chordata; Actinopteri; Anguilliformes; Anguillidae
Exons: 3
Source: RefSeq, a predicted model, not a curated record
UUUUCUGGCAACGUGAGAAAAUGGUACAUGUCAGACUGAACUUCUCUGGCACUCAGGAAUAUGUGAAUAUCAGAAGAAAAACACGUUUGCCCUUUUAAGACAUUUCAGGGCGUUCGUACACUGCCUCCGUCAUGUUUCAUGCCAGACAUCCUGUUACCAUGGCUACUGAAGAACCACAGAACAAAACACAGGGAGACCCCACGAUCGAAGCAGGCGACAUUCAUUACGCUUCUCUGGGCCGUCAGAACUGGAGAGAGAGGCCGCACACUCAGGGCGAGAGACACCAUGUGAUCUACUCCACUGUGGCUGGAGGGCCAGUUUAGUCAGAGGAGGACA